Small nucleolar RNA from Penaeus monodon (black tiger shrimp), 204 nucleotides. RefSeq annotates it as small nucleolar RNA U3. The transcript has a single exon. Lineage: Eukaryota; Metazoa; Arthropoda; Malacostraca; Decapoda; Penaeidae. The record is from RefSeq and is a predicted model, not a curated record.
CUGAAACAACUUUAUAGGGAUCCCCUUCUAUAGUGCGAUUGCCGGUUUCUCGCCCGAGAUUCUCGGAAAAUGUUCAACCCCGAUAGGACUGUUAUGUAAUCCUUUUGAGCGGGAACGGUUUUCAAGGGGUUGGUUGGAGAAAUUUUAUUUACCGUUCUGACCGGUUUACCGGUUGGGGGAGGAUCACAGAAGCUGAGUUUGGGU